AUUCUGCCCAUGCGGGGAAGGAUGAGAAGCUUCGACUAAGGUUCGGCUCGAGCGUCAGCGAGAGAGCGUUGCCGCAGGCAACGACCCGAAGGGCG
RNAcentral lists this small RNA (95 nucleotides) under Escherichia coli. Its description in RNAcentral is "partial RtT sRNA". It matches the Rfam family "RtT RNA", at positions 1 to 93 of the family's 130-position model. From Rfam's summary of the family: This family represents a bacterial cis-regulatory element known as RtT RNA. The exact function of RtT is unknown although it is thought that it may be involved in changing the cellular response in relation to amino acid starvation. The record is from RNAcentral. Lineage: Bacteria; Pseudomonadati; Pseudomonadota; Gammaproteobacteria; Enterobacterales; Enterobacteriaceae.